This 324-nucleotide ribosomal RNA is filed under the name uncultured bacterium. Its description in RNAcentral is "bacterial SSU rRNA". It matches the Rfam family "Bacterial small subunit ribosomal RNA", at positions 28 to 334 of the family's 1533-position model. The record is from RNAcentral.
GAUGAACGCUGGCGGCGUGCUUAACACAUGCAAGUCGAACGAAGCACCUGAGAACGAUUCUUCGGAUGAAGUCUCUUGUGACUGAGUGGCGGACGGGUGAGUAACGCGUGGGUAACCUGCCUCACACAGGGGGAUAACAGUUGGAAACGACCGCUAAUACCGCAUAACCCGCUGGUGCCGCAUGGCACUGACGGAAAAGAUUUAUCGGUGUGAGAGGGACCCGCGUCUGAUUAGCCAGUUGGCAGGGUAACGGCCUACCAAAGCGACGAUCAGUAGCCGGCCUGAGAGGGUGAACGGCCACAUUGGGACUGAGACACGGCCCAG